CCUACGGGUGGCAGCAGUGAGGAAUAUUGGACAAUGGACGAGAGUCUGAACCAGCCAAGUAGCGUGAAGGAUGACUGAUCUCUGGGUUGUAAGCUUCAUUUAUAUGGGAAUAAAACAGAGUAUGCAUACACUCUUGUAUGUACUAUAUGAAUAAGGAUCGGCUAACUCCGUGCCAGCAGCCGCGGUAAUACGGAGGAUCCGAGCGUUAUCCGGAUUUAUUGGGGUUAAAGGGAGCGUAGGUGGAUUGUUAAGUCAGAUGUGAAAGUUUGCGGCUCAACCGUAAGAUUGCAGUUGAAACUGGCAGUCUAGAGUACGGUAGAGGUGGGCGGAAUUCGUGGUGUAGCGGUGAAAUGCUUAGAUAUCAGGAAGAACUCCAAUUGCGAAGGCAGCUCACUGGACUGAAACUGACACUGAUGCUCGAAAGUGUGGGUAUCAAACAGGAUUAGAUACCCCUGUAGUC
RNAcentral lists this ribosomal RNA (460 nucleotides) under uncultured bacterium. RNAcentral describes it as "partial 16S ribosomal RNA". It matches the Rfam family "Bacterial small subunit ribosomal RNA", at positions 338 to 795 of the family's 1533-position model. The record is from RNAcentral.